RNAcentral lists this long non-coding RNA (1004 nucleotides) under Salmo trutta (river trout). Its description in RNAcentral is "lncRNA (ENSSTUG00000007318.1)". The record is from RNAcentral. Lineage: Eukaryota; Metazoa; Chordata; Actinopteri; Salmoniformes; Salmonidae.
UUGUUGCGGUGUUAGACUGUCACAAUUCUAAUGUUUUGUUUUUGUUUACAUAGUUUCCUUUAAUGGAACAGUCACUGUGGAAAAAGUAUUUAGUGAAACUAAUACUAUCAAACAACAGCUCACAGAGGGUUUUCAACAAUUAAAUGGGUUUGAGGGCCUUAAUGUAUCUGGACCUAGGUAAUACAUUCAACAUUUAUUAUGGGAUAUAUUCAUUCCUUAAUAUUUGGCAGAGUGCUUGUUUUUCUCCCCAAAGAUGCAACAUCAAUUUUUGUUUUUGUCUCCCUUUCACCCAUUGGAAACUCAAUAUUGACACAUAAGGGGUGAUGGCCACAUUGUUGAUUUCGAAGUGGAUCUCAGUGUCAUAUUUCUGACUAAAAAACUUACAAUAAUAACAGCUGACCUGGAAGCUACUGUAGGCUCCUCUGCCAAAAUAUCUGUUGAAACAUCAGGAUUUGUAAGCAUUAAGUAUCCAAUGAACAAAGUGCCAUACCGCUCAACACCGAUACUGAGUUGCACAUUUAAAGAAACAACAUUUGAUGAAACAGAUGGCUCUUGGAACUGGAACUUGAUAAAGGGAAAUGAGACAUUUGUUCUGAACACUGGAACCAGCAUAACCGUCACCUUCCCAGAGGCAUCACCUAACUGUACCACAGUCCAAAUUAAAAAGUUGUCAGGGAACUGGGCAGGAAUUUAUAAGUGUGGAUUUUCCAAAGGAUCCAUUGUGCACGCAGCCUCUGCAGAGUUGAAGGUAGCCCUGCUACCAGAUCAGAUCACCAUGACGAGUACCCCACUGACUGUAGAAUGCCAAGAUACAAGCCCUCAAAGUGUGAUGGUCAAUGCAACCAUCGAGAACAGCACGGAGAUUUACAAUGUUACUUGGUCAUACCAAGCUCAAAUGGAACCCCCAAAUCCAAUCACAGGUACUCUUUAUGAACUGUGUCUCGAACUAUCACCUUAUUUCUCUUAGUGCUCAAAAUGUAUAAAGUUGCCGUAACUUGAGAAAA